Molecule: ribosomal RNA, 509 nt
Filed under: uncultured bacterium
Lineage: Bacteria
Description: bacterial SSU rRNA
Rfam family: Bacterial small subunit ribosomal RNA
Source: RNAcentral
AUGGCUCAGGAUGAACGCUAGCUACAGGCUUAACACAUGCAAGUCGAGGGGCAGCAUGAGAUUAGCUUGCUAAUCUUGAUGGCGACCGGCGCACGGGUGAGUAACGCGUAUCCAACCUUCCCCCUACUCAGGCAUAGCCCGGUGAAAACCGGAUUAACUCCUGAUAGUUUCACUAGAUGGCAUCUGACGGUGAAUAAAGCUCAGCGGUAAGGGAUGGGGAUGCGUCUGAUUAGCUUGUUGGCGGGGUAACGGCCCACCAAGGCGACGAUCAGUAGGGGUUCUGAGAGGAAGGUCCCCCACAUUGGAACUGAGACACGGUCCAAACUCCUACGGGAGGCAGCAGUGAGGAAUAUUGGUCAAUGGGCGCGAGCCUGAACCAGCCAAGUAGCGUGCAGGAUGACGGCCCUAUGGGUUGUAAACUGCUUUUGUAUGGGAAUAAAGUCAGGGACGUGUCCCUGUUUGCAUGUACCAUAAGAAUAAGGACCGGCUAAUUCCGUGCCAGCCGCUGC